RNAcentral lists this ribosomal RNA (497 nucleotides) under uncultured bacterium. RNAcentral describes it as "partial 16S ribosomal RNA". It matches the Rfam family "Bacterial small subunit ribosomal RNA", at positions 28 to 507 of the family's 1533-position model. The record is from RNAcentral.
GAUGAACGCUGGCGGCGUGCCUAAUACAUGCAAGUCGAGCGAACAGACGAGGAGCUUGCUCCUCUGACGUUAGCGGCGGACGGGUGAGUAACACGUGGAUAACCUACCUAUAAGACUGGGAUAACUUCGGGAAACCGGAGCUAAUACCGGAUAAUAUAUUGAACCGCAUGGUUCAAUAGUGAAAGACGGUUUUGCUGUCACUUAUAGAUGGAUCCGCGCCGCAUUAGAUAGUUGGUAAGGUAACGGCUUACCAAGGCAACGAUGCGUAGCCGACCUGAGAGGGUGAUAGGCCACAUUGGAACUGAGACACGGUCCAGACUCCUACGGGAGGCAGCAGUAGGGAAUCUUCCGCAAUGGGCGAAAGCCUGACGGAGCAACGCCGCGUGAAUGAUGAAGGUCUUCGGAUCGUAAAACUCUGUUAUUAGGGAAGAACAAAUGUGUAAGUAACUAUGCACGUCUUGACGGUACCUAAUCAGAAAGCCACGGCUAACUACGUG